UGGCGAAAAUAACUACGCUCUCGCUGCCUAACCGAAGCACAGUAAGUUAGCUUUAUUUCUGCCACAGUGGCAGAAACGAGACAUCACCCGAUUGCCUUGCUCUGAGACGUUUCGAUAAGGUGGUGCUAAUAAAAUCGGAGCUGGGACGGCUUGUUCUCCGGUAGCUGUCCGAGAUUUUAGGAGAUAAGCCUUGGGUUGGUAGUUUUGAUCCUGCCCACGGUCGAAAACCAAGUCAAAACUAAGCAUGUAGAAAGCAUAUUAGUUCCACGUUUGGACGAGAGUUCGAAUCUCUCCAUCUCCACUU
RNAcentral lists this transfer-messenger RNA (304 nucleotides) under Porphyromonadaceae bacterium. Its description in RNAcentral is "partial transfer-messenger RNA". It matches the Rfam family "transfer-messenger RNA", at positions 92 to 374 of the family's 374-position model. From Rfam's summary of the family: Bacterial tmRNA, also known as 10Sa RNA or SsrA, is named for its dual tRNA and mRNA-like properties. Its role is to liberate the mRNA from a stalled ribosome. Lineage: Bacteria; Pseudomonadati; Bacteroidota; Bacteroidia; Bacteroidales; Porphyromonadaceae. The record is from RNAcentral.